CACUCCUUCCCAUCCCGAACAGGACAGUGAAACGACUCAGCGCCGAUGAUAGUGCGGAUUCCCGUGUGAAAGUAGGUCAUCGUCAGGC
RNAcentral lists this ribosomal RNA (88 nucleotides) under Polaromonas sp. CG_9.2. RNAcentral also lists the same sequence under 1 other name. The record is from RNAcentral. Lineage: Bacteria; Pseudomonadati; Pseudomonadota; Betaproteobacteria; Burkholderiales; Comamonadaceae.